UGCAGUCGAGCGAUGGAUUAAGAGCUUGCUCUUAUGAAGUUAGCGGCGGACGGGUGAGUAACACGUGGGUAACCUGCCCAUAAGACUGGGAUAACUCCGGGAAACCGGGGCUAAUACCGGAUAACAUUUUGAACCGCAUGGUUCGAAAUUGAAAGGCGGCUUCGGCUGUCACUUAUGGAUGGACCCGCGUCGCAUUAGCUAGUUGGUGAGGUAACGGCUCACCAAGGCAACGAUGCGUAGCCGACCUGAGAGGGUGAUCGGCCACACUGGGACUGAGACACGGCCCAGACUCCUACGGGAGGCAGCAGUAGGGAAUCUUCCGCAAUGGACGAAAGUCUGACGGAGCAACGCCGCGUGAGUGAUGAAGGCUUUCGGGUCGUAAAACUCUGUUGUUAGGGAAGAACAAGUGCUAGUUGAAUAAGCUGGCACCUUGACGGUACCUAACCAGAAAGCCACGGCUAACUACGUGCCAGCAGCCGCGGUAAUACGUAGGUGGCAAGCGUUAUCCGGAAUUAUUGGGCGUAAAGCGCGCGCAGGUGGUUUCUUAAGUCUGAUGUGAAAGCCCACGGCUCAACCGUGGAGGGUCAUUGGAAACUGGGAGACUUGAGUGCAGAAGAGGAAAGUGGAAUUCCAUGUGUAGCGGUGAAAUGCGUAGAGAUAUGGAGGAACACCAGUGGCGAAAGCGACUUUCUGGUCUGUAACUGACACUGAGGCGCG
This 717-nucleotide ribosomal RNA is filed under the name Bacillus sp. RZ2MS17. RNAcentral's name for it is "bacterial SSU rRNA". It matches the Rfam family "Bacterial small subunit ribosomal RNA", at positions 56 to 755 of the family's 1533-position model. RNAcentral also lists the same sequence under 1 other name. Lineage: Bacteria; Bacillati; Bacillota; Bacilli; Caryophanales; Bacillaceae. The record is from RNAcentral.